Molecule: microRNA precursor, 56 nt
Filed under: Podarcis lilfordi (Lilford's wall lizard)
Lineage: Eukaryota; Metazoa; Chordata; Lepidosauria; Squamata; Lacertidae
Source: RNAcentral
ACCCGAAGCCUCCGGAGCCCAGCGGGAGUUCCCGCUGGGCUCUGGAGGCUUUGGGU